CCCUUAGAUGUCCGGGGCCGCACGCGCGCUACACUGAAGGAAUCAGCGUGGCUCUGUCCCUGGUCCGAAAGGAUUGGGAAACCCGUUGAAUCUCCUUCGUGAUAGGGAUUGGGGCUUGGAACUGUUCCCCAUGAACGAGGAAUUCCUAGUAAACGCAAGUCAUCAACUUGCAUUGAUUACGUCCCUGCCCUUUGUACACACCGCCCGUCGCACCUACCGAUUGAAUGGUCCGGUGAAGCCUCCGGAUUGGCGCGCACCUCGGUGCCGCCGAGAAGUUGGCUAAACCUUACCAUUUAGAGGAAGGUGAAGUCGUAACA
RNAcentral lists this ribosomal RNA (317 nucleotides) under uncultured eukaryote. RNAcentral describes it as "partial 18S ribosomal RNA". It matches the Rfam family "Eukaryotic small subunit ribosomal RNA", at positions 1470 to 1796 of the family's 1831-position model. The record is from RNAcentral.